Hemicordylus capensis (graceful crag lizard) is the source of this 2135-nucleotide long non-coding RNA. RefSeq lists it as uncharacterized. The record is from RefSeq and is a predicted model, not a curated record. NCBI's taxonomy places the organism in Eukaryota, Metazoa, Chordata, Lepidosauria, Squamata, Cordylidae. The transcript has 5 exons.
AGUGGAACAUGCGCAGUAUGGUCAAACGAAGCUGCUUUCUGCCCACAACUCCUCCGCCUCCAGGAAACCCCCUUCAGCUUGGCCUGCUCUAAAGAAACGUCGCCUGCCAGUUUCGCUCUGUCGGGUUUUUCGGCCAGUGGCAAAGCCCGUCCAAGCAUGCUACUGGCUCCUUUCCCUGCUCUGUGCACCUAUUUAUGUUAAUUGCCUGGUGGUGGCCGCGCAGCCGGGCUGUCAGGGCCUAUUUUCAAAAAUAAGAGACGUUGUGGAGCUCGAUGCCUGCAAUAAAGAGGCAUCCAUAAUGUUCUUGGGAAAUGUGGGGCAGAAAUACAGUGUUGUAUGGGACUGGGGGAGUCUGGAGUAAGGGGAGACUCUUGAAAAGAAAGGACAUCUAGCAAGUCUAGCAAGCCAAAGUGACUGACAUUUCUCAUCAGUCUGCCCUGAUUAUUACAGACUCGUUUUUAAUUUGCUUUCAAGAAUAAUGCUCAUAUUCUUGGAUUCUGAUCGCAUACAUAUAGUUAGUUGAGAUUUACUGGCGGGAAGGAACUCUGCACAUGAUCCGAGGUCAUUUCUUCAUAUUUCCUGGUCUGAGGCAUGCAGACAGAGAGCAACUGGGCCUAUCCAUCCCCAACACAGCAUCCCUCCAGUGGCUGUUGCUGAUUUUUAACCAUCAAUAAUUCCAAAAUGGCAUCAUGCCCAAGAGAAGAUGAUCUUUCUCAGAUUCAAAUUUACCAUAUAUGAUUUUGCUGGAGCGAUGUGUGUGUCAUUACCACGAGGAAAGCCCAAAUGCUGGCAUCAACAUUUUAAAAAUACAAUUUUACAUUCAAAAAUGAUCCUCCUUUUCCUGCAAGCAAAACAUUUUGAACAGAAGUAUCCCAGCAGAGCACAGAAGUAUUAUUGCAGUACAUUUGUCAUCACAAAAGUAACCAAAUCUGCUCGUUUUCCAAGACUGUAUCGUCUUCCUAGGGUUUAAGCUCAACUUUCUGGGGAGUCUUACAAAAUCCUGUAAAGUACUUGAAUUUUCCAAUACACUUAAUUAUAAAAAGAAGUUAUUAGAGGUAGCCCCUCCUCAAGAAUCAUGAAGUGAAGAGCUCUGGGGUUUCAGAGGCAUUGUGACAAAGAAUUGUGAGGGGAGGACUGGAUGGGGAGAAUUAUACGAGUGUUUGGAGCAUGUGAUAGGAUGCUUCCUGAUUUUUUUUAUUUUGGCAAGGAGGGGGACAUGGGGCAGUUAGGCACCUCACAGAAUGAGGAUGUGCUGUACAUGCUGUAGGGAAGAGGGGAUAUUCAGGCUGCACCUGACAUGAUAUUAUUUGAAAACAGCAAUGGGAAUAGUGGCUAUUUUGGAUCACAUUUAUGUAUAGAAUAUGUGCAAAUCUAGGUCAGAUUACACCAAGUACACAAUAAUUUGGAACAGUUCUGCAAAUCUGUGGCCAAACAUAGCUCACCAGGGCUUUGAUAAAACAUCUGGAUUUUGCUGCCUAUCUGUAACUACAAAACAUAUGAGUGUAGUCAGGCCCACAAUACAUGGCUAGUGAAUUGCAUUUGGCUUGGUGGGUCAAAAGCUGUACAGGUCUAGUUCACAGAGUCAGUCUGCACAGGAUGGCUGAAUCCAGCCAUAUGAUAUGGGUUCCAAUAUAGCAAUAUUGGAAGCAGAGAAUGGGCAUAGGACUACUGGGUGACAAUGAACAGUUGACAGGGUAUUUUAUUAAAUUAUACAUGGCUCAGACUUGAAAAUUGAAUGCUCAUGCUCACACCCCUUUGCCAGCAAUGAGAUGGGCAACACACACUAAAAAUUAAGCAAUCAUUGCUUCAAAGUAUGUAAAACUUAAAAUAGACAAUAUUCCCUAUCCAGGGGGGUGAAUAAAAUUGCACUUCAUUUGAUUAAAAACAUUAGCCAUUAGAUAACAUUUUCAAAUUUUCUUCUUCUAAAGCCCUCUUCUUUUCCCAAGCUAGACAACAGAAUCUUCAGUCAACUGCUGCUACAUUCAAGAAGAGUGAAAGUGACCCAAGUAAAAUGUUCUCCCUGUGAGAACAGUAUCUAAUUCCAAAGGUGAAGAUCAAGGAACAUAUUAGAAGAAUGCAGCACUGGAACAUUCUGAGGGAGACAGAAGUUUCUUCCUUUCUCCAACAGCAGGGAG